RNAcentral lists this ribosomal RNA (561 nucleotides) under uncultured bacterium. RNAcentral describes it as "bacterial SSU rRNA". It matches the Rfam family "Bacterial small subunit ribosomal RNA", at positions 338 to 916 of the family's 1533-position model. The record is from RNAcentral.
CCUACGGGAGGCAGCAGUGGGGAAUCUUGCGCAAUGGGCGAAAGCCUGACGCAGCCAUGCCGCGUGAAUGAUGAAGGUCUUAGGAUUGUAAAAUUCUUUCACCGGGGACGAUAAUGACGGUACCCGGAGAAGAAGCCCCGGCUAACUUCGUGCCAGCAGCCGCGGUAAUACGAAGGGGGCUAGCGUUGCUCGGAAUUACUGGGCGUAAAGGGAGCGUAGGCGGAUAGUUUAGUCAGAGGUGAAAGCCCAGGGCUCAACCUUGGAAUUGCCUUUGAUACUGGCUAUCUUGAGUGUGGGAGAGGUAUGUGGAACUCCGAGUGUAGAGGUGAAAUUCGUAGAUAUUCGGAAGAACACCAGUGGCGGAGGCGACAUACUGGCCCAUUACUGACGCUGAGGCUCGAAAGCGUGGGGAGCAAACAGGAUUAGAUACCCUGGUAGUCCACGCUGUAAACGAUGAGUGCUAGUUGUCGGCAGGCAUGCCUGUCGGUGACGCAGCUAACGCAUUAAGCACUCCGCCUGGGGAGUACGGUCGCAAGAUUAAAACCUUAAAGGAAUUGACGG